AGUGAACGCUGGCGGCAGGCCUAACACAUGCAAGUCGAGCGGCAGCGCGGGGGCAACCCUGGCGGCGAGCGGCGGACGGGUGAGGAAUUCGUCGGAAUCUGCCUUUUUGUGGGGGAUAACGUAGGGAAACUUACGCUAAUACCGCAUACGUCCUACGGGAGAAAGUGGGGGACCGCAAGGCCUCACGCAGAAAGAUGAGCCGACGACCGAUUAGCUAGUUGGUGGGGUAAAGGCCCACCAAGGCGACGAUCGGUAGCUGGUCUGAGAGGAUGAUCAGCCACACUGGGACUGAGACACGGCCCAGACUCCUACGGGAGGCAGCAGUGGGGAAUAUUGGACAAUGGGCGCAAGCCUGAUCCAGCCAUGCCGCGUGUGUGAAGAAGGCCUUCGGGUUGUAAAGCACUUUUGCCCGGAAAGAAAUCCCUGGAGCUAAUACCUUCGGGGGAUGACGGUACCGGAAGAAUAAGCACCGGCUAACUUCGUG
RNAcentral lists this ribosomal RNA (484 nucleotides) under uncultured bacterium. Its description in RNAcentral is "partial 16S ribosomal RNA". It matches the Rfam family "Bacterial small subunit ribosomal RNA", at positions 29 to 507 of the family's 1533-position model. The record is from RNAcentral.